UGCUGCAAACUGGAAGAGACAAAGGAGAAAUAACAGCUGGAUGCAAUCUGAGAUCUUAGACAAGAUCCUGGAACAGACAGGGAAAAACAUUUGUGUUAAAAUGGGUGAAAUUAGAAAAAGGCCUGUAGUUGAGUUAAUUAUAUUGUACCAAAUGUUCAUUUUCAUCACUUGAUAAUUGUACUAUGGUUAUGUUUCAAAAAAUAAAAUGAUGUUGCUUAUGUAAAACAAUUCUUUAUGAAAUGUAGUAUAGUGGUUAAGAGCAUCUUUUCUGUAUUCAAACCCUAGCCAGUGGUUCAUCUAUGUCAGGAAGCCAUUGGGUUUCAUCUGCCAAAAGAUGCCCUCAUCAAAGACACCAAUCACCAAGGGGAACAGCUGUGUUCCUGCUGUCACCAUGAUAAAUUGUGGCCCAGUAUUGCCAGAUCUCCCAAUUUUGCAAGAAUCUUGGCUUUUUAUAAGAAAACUCCCAACUUCUAAAUGUUGGUAAAUAGUUCAAAAAUGUAAAGCAUCCUGGUUCUAAGACUACAAAUGCCAAACCCCAAAAGCGA
Molecule: long non-coding RNA, 545 nt
Filed under: Homo sapiens (human)
Lineage: Eukaryota; Metazoa; Chordata; Mammalia; Primates; Hominidae
Description: non-protein coding lnc-PRKAA2-10:1
Source: RNAcentral